CACGUGACACGGCAGAAAGAUGGCAGUCUAGACGGUCGUCUGGGUGUCGACUGCAAUGUUGUUUACAGUUUAUAUGAAUUCGUUUUGCAACACUUACUCCAUAACCACACCAUUUGAGUAUGAUAAACAAUCGUCAAAGGGACGUUUUGUCGAUGACAAUAAAGUUCAAUGAGCAGUGGUUUGAUGCAAGCCUCAAAUGAUUUAUGAACACUAUUUUCUCCUCCAGAGGAUGCAGAACGAUGUCUUAUAUCGCUGUUGCAGUUAGAAAUAAGAAAUUGCACCGAAGAAGCGUUCUCAGGGAGCCUAUGUUCUGAAAGAUUGGACGAAACUCCUUUCCCUAAUCUAGUAUACAAUGGGCUUCAUCCACACACACAAUGACUUCCUCAUCUCUGUGGAUGAUAGAUGAAAGACAACCAAAUCCCCCUUUUGUGACCAAAAAUGUACUUUACACUUGAAAUGUGUUCUGUGCUAGAAAAGUCAUCUGAAAGCGUAAUAGCUAGAGAGCCUAACUUUUCAAUUGCCUGAUUGAUGAAAGCAUUUAAUGGGCUAAAAAUGACACAUUUUUUGAAUAAAUUUUUUACCACAAUG
Long non-coding RNA from Ostrea edulis (European flat oyster), 588 nucleotides. RefSeq lists it as uncharacterized. The record is from RefSeq and is a predicted model, not a curated record. The transcript is spliced from 3 exons. NCBI's taxonomy places the organism in Eukaryota, Metazoa, Mollusca, Bivalvia, Ostreida, Ostreidae.